RNAcentral lists this ribosomal RNA (495 nucleotides) under uncultured bacterium. RNAcentral's name for it is "partial 16S ribosomal RNA". It matches the Rfam family "Bacterial small subunit ribosomal RNA", at positions 28 to 507 of the family's 1533-position model. The record is from RNAcentral.
GACGAACGCUGGCGGCGUGCCUAAUAAAUGCAAGUAGAACGAUGAAGGAGGAGAUUGCUCUUCUAGAUGAGUGGCGAACGGGUGAGUAACGCGUAGGUAACCUGCCGGGUAGCGGGGGAUAACUAUUGGAAACGAUAGCUAAUACCGCAUAAGAGAAGAUGUUACAUGACAUUUACUUAAAAGGUGCAAUUGCAUCACUACCAGCUGGACAUGCGUUGUAUUAGCUAGUUGGAGGGGUAACGGCUUACCAAGGCGACGAUACAUAGCCGACCUGAAAGGGUGCUCCGCAACUAUGGGACUGAGACACGGCCCAGACUUCUCCAGGAGGCCGCAGUAGCGAACCUACGGCAAUGGACGGAAGGCUGACCCAGCAACGCCGCGCGAGUGACGAAUGUGUUCAGGUCGUCAAGCGCUGUCUUAUGUGAAGAUCGUGUCCGCCCGUGGAACUCCCCCACUGCUACAUCCCCUUACCAGUAACCAACGCCCCACUACGUC